This 506-nucleotide ribosomal RNA is filed under the name uncultured bacterium. RNAcentral describes it as "bacterial SSU rRNA". It matches the Rfam family "Bacterial small subunit ribosomal RNA", at positions 19 to 518 of the family's 1533-position model. The record is from RNAcentral.
CUGGCUCAGGAUGAACGCUAGCUACAGGCUUAACACAUGCAAGUCGAGGGGCAGCAUUGGAGUAGCAAUACUUCAGAUGGCGACCGGCGCACGGGUGAGUAACACGUAUCCAACCUGCCGCUUACUCGGGGAUAGCCUUUCGAAAGAAAGAUUAAUACCCGAUGGUAUAAAGAGUUCGCAUGUUCUCUUUAUUAAAGAAUUUCGGUAAGCGAUGGGGAUGCGUUCCAUUAGAUAGUUGGCGGGGUAACGGCCCACCAAGUCUACGAUGGAUAGGGUUCUGAGAGGAAGGUCCCCCACAUUGGAACUGAGACACGGUCCAAACUCCUACGGGAGGCAGCAGUGAGGAAUAUUGGUCAAUGGACGAGAGUCUGAACCAGCCAAGUAGCGUGAAGGAUGACUGCCCUAUGGGUUGUAAACUUCUUUUAUAAGGGAAUAAAGUGAGGGACGUGUCCCUUUUUGUAUGUACCUUAUGAAUAAGGAUCGGCUAACUCCGUGCCAGCAGCAGC